GCCUAUUAUCAGGAACCUCUACGGGAGGUAGCAACCUGCAACAACAAGCAAGGUGCUAAAGCGAUAAGCCAAACUUUUUGGAAAAAAUGUUGUCUAU
Molecule: non-coding RNA, 97 nt
Filed under: Cloacibacterium normanense
Lineage: Bacteria; Pseudomonadati; Bacteroidota; Flavobacteriia; Flavobacteriales; Weeksellaceae
Description: SAM-I-IV sequence
Rfam family: SAM-I/IV (S-adenosyl methionine) riboswitch aptamer
About the family: It is found upstream of a number of genes which code for proteins involved in methionine or cysteine biosynthesis. It has been found mostly in the order Actinomycetales.
Source: Rfam by way of RNAcentral